RNAcentral lists this ribosomal RNA (460 nucleotides) under uncultured bacterium. RNAcentral describes it as "partial 16S ribosomal RNA". It matches the Rfam family "Bacterial small subunit ribosomal RNA", at positions 338 to 795 of the family's 1533-position model. The record is from RNAcentral.
CCUACGGGAGGCAGCAGUGAGGAAUAUUGGUCAAUGGCCGGAAGGCUGAACCAGCCAUGCCGCGUGAAGGUCAGUGCCCUAUGGGCGUUAAACUUCUUUUGUGCGGGAGCAAUAAUGGUCACGUGUGGCCAGACGAGAGUACCGUACGAAUAAGCAUCGGCUAACUCCGUGCCAGCAGCCGCGGUAAUACGUGGGAUGCAAGCGUUAUCCGGAUUUAUUGGGUUUAAAGGGUGCGUAGGCUGUGAGGUAAGUCAGCGGGGAAAUGCCCCCGCUCAACGGGGUGAAGUGCCAUGGAUACUGCCUUGCUGGAAUGCGGAUGCCGUGGGAGGAAUGUGUGGUGUAGCGGUGAAAUGCAUAGAGAUCACACAGAACACCGAUUGCGAAGGCAUCUCACGAAUCCGCGAUUGACGCUGAUGCACGAAAGCGUGGGUAUCAAACAGGAUUAGAUACCCUAGUAGUC